GCCCACCCGUAAACUUAGAUAAUUCAAUCCAAUAAAUAUCCGCCCGGGGACUACGAGCGCCAGCUUAAAACCCAAAGGACUUGGCGGUGCUUCAGACCCCCCUAGAGGAGCCUGUUCUAGAACCGAUAACCCCCGUUCAACCUCACUACUCCUUGCUCUUCCCGCCUAUAUACCACCGUCGCCAGCUUACCCUGUGAAGGCACCACAGUAAGCAAAAUGAGUAUUUCUCAGAACGUCAGGUCGAGGUGUAGCGUACGAAGUAGGAAGAAAUGGGCUACAUUACCUAAAAUAGGUUAACUUACGAACGGCCAUCUGAAAUUAAUGACCCGAAGGUGGAUUUAGCAGUAAAGAAGGAAUAGAGUGCCUUCUUGAAGCCGGCUCUGAAGCGCGCACACACCGCCCGUCACUCUCCCCAACAACCGCACUUACCAAAGUAAAUAACAAACUUAUGGUCACAAGGGGAGGCAAGUCGUAACAUGGUAAGUGUACCGGAAGGUGCACUUGGAAUAAC
This 511-nucleotide ribosomal RNA is filed under the name Sauvagella madagascariensis (Madagascar round herring). Its description in RNAcentral is "partial 12S ribosomal RNA". It matches the Rfam family "Bacterial small subunit ribosomal RNA", at positions 794 to 1527 of the family's 1533-position model. The record is from RNAcentral. Lineage: Eukaryota; Metazoa; Chordata; Actinopteri; Clupeiformes; Clupeidae.